This 400-nucleotide unclassified non-coding RNA is filed under the name uncultured fungus. Its description in RNAcentral is "sequence contains ITS1". The stretch from base 1 to 106 matches the Rfam family "5.8S ribosomal RNA", at positions 50 to 154 of the family's 154-position model. Lineage: Eukaryota; Fungi. The record is from RNAcentral.
GAAAUGCGAUACGUAAUGCGAAUUGCAGAAUUCAGUGAAUCAUCAAGUUUUUGAACGCAACUUGCGCUUUCGGGAUAUGCCUGAAAGCAUGCCUUUUUGAGCGUCGGUUCAUUUAUCAUUUCAGUUUCCUUCUUGGAUGACUGGAGAUUGGGCGUUUGUUUUCUUUUUCAGAAAACUCGCUUGAAACGCGAAAGUGGUUUAACUUCACCUUUUCAUACAGCCCCGUAAAAAGGUCGCGGAUAAUUUGUGUUUUCGAACACUAUCCAGCGCAUUAUUUUUUCCGUGAACUUGGAAAAUGGUGAUCCACUCAAUACGAAGUUUUGUAUGUGAGAAUGUUCGUGAACAUUCCUCAUUCAAAGCUCCAACUUAAACAACCAAUCAGACCUCAAAUAAGGCAAGA